RNAcentral lists this ribosomal RNA (211 nucleotides) under uncultured bacterium. RNAcentral describes it as "partial 16S ribosomal RNA". It matches the Rfam family "Bacterial small subunit ribosomal RNA", at positions 114 to 334 of the family's 1533-position model. The record is from RNAcentral.
CGCGUAGGGAUUUAUCGUUGGGUGGGGGACAACCAUGGGAAACUGUGGCUAAUACCGCAUGACGCCUAUGGGCCAAAGGUCCUGCGAGGGACUGCCUGAUGAGGAGCCUGCGUCCGAUUAGUUAGUUGGUUGGGUAAUGGCUGACCAAGGCGAUGAUCGGUAGCUGGUCUGAGAGGAUGAUCAGCCACACUGGGACUGAGACACGGCCCAG